This 21-nucleotide microRNA is filed under the name Prunus persica (peach). Its description in RNAcentral is "ppe-miR8132". The record is from miRBase by way of RNAcentral. Lineage: Eukaryota; Viridiplantae; Streptophyta; Magnoliopsida; Rosales; Rosaceae.
UCCAACGAUGGGUGACCACAA